This 479-nucleotide ribosomal RNA is filed under the name uncultured bacterium. Its description in RNAcentral is "bacterial SSU rRNA". It matches the Rfam family "Bacterial small subunit ribosomal RNA", at positions 30 to 506 of the family's 1533-position model. The record is from RNAcentral.
UUGAACGCUGGCGGCAUGCCUUACACAUGCAAGUCGAACGGUAACGGGUUAAGCCGACGAGUGGCGAACGGGUGAGUAAUAUAUCGGAACGUGCCCAAUCGUGGGGGAUAACGCAGCGAAAGUUGUGCUAAUACCGCAUAAGAUCUACGGAUGAAAGCGGGGGACUCAGCAAUGGGCCUCGCGCGAUUGGAGCGGCCGAUAUCAGAUUAGCUAGUUGGUGGGGUAAAAGCUCACCAAGGCGACGAUCUGUAGCUGGUCUGAGAGGACGACCAGCCACACUGGAACUGAGACACGGUCCAGACUCCUACGGGAGGCAGCAGUGGGGAAUUUUGGACAAUGGGCGCAAGCCUGAUCCAGCAAUGCCGCGUGCAGGAUGAAGGCCUUCGGGUUGUAAACUGCUUUUGUACGGAACGAAACGGUUCUCUUUAAUAAAGAGGGCUAAUGACGGUACCGUAAGAAUAAGCACCGGCUAACUACGU